Molecule: ribosomal RNA, 542 nt
Filed under: Tuber bernardinii
Lineage: Eukaryota; Fungi; Ascomycota; Pezizomycetes; Pezizales; Tuberaceae
Description: eukaryotic LSU rRNA
Rfam family: Eukaryotic large subunit ribosomal RNA
Source: RNAcentral
GGCAGAAGCUCAAAUUUGAAAUCCGGCGCCUGCGGCGUCCGAGUUGUAAUUUGGAGAGGCACUCGCGGGACGGGUCCGGCCUAUGUUCCUUGGAACAGGGCGUCACAGAGGGUGAGAAUCCCGUUCGUGGUUGGGCGCCCGAUCCCAGCACGCGCUGCCUUCUACGAGUCGAGUUGUUUGGGAAUGCAGCUCAAAAUGGGUGGUAAAUUUCAUCUAAAGCUAAAUACCGGCGAGAGACCGAUAGCGCACAAGUAGAGUGAUCGAAAGAUGAAAAGCACUUUGAAAAUAGAGUCAAACAGUACGUGAAAUUGUUGAAAGGGAAGCGCUUGAGACCAGACUCAGCCGUCGACAAACAACCGUCCUUCUGGACGCUGCACUUGUCCUCGGCUGGGCCAGCAUCAGUUGGGACGGCGGGAUAAAGGCCUGGGGAAUGUGACUCCCCUCGGGAGUGUUAUAGCCCCGGGCGCCAUGCCGCCCGUCACGACUGUGGACCGCGCUACGGCUAGGAUGCUGGCGUAAUGGUCUCCAGCGGCCCGUCUUGA